Non-coding RNA from Meleagris gallopavo (turkey), 3037 nucleotides. Lineage: Eukaryota; Metazoa; Chordata; Aves; Galliformes; Phasianidae. The record is from RefSeq and is a predicted model, not a curated record.
GAGACUGCGGCCACCUCUGCCUGGGGGGAGUGUUAGUGCAGCCCUGCUGCUGAUGUGUGGGGAGAAUUCCCUCUCAGUUUUAGGAAAACUUCUGAAAAACAAAACUGACUGGUGCAAUUCAUAUUUCUUUCAGCAAACCUUAAUUAUCUCUCAUUUUCUUUCAGGCCCACUCUGUUCUCCAGGCUCGUUACAUGGGUUUCUGUCUCUCCGCAGCAUCCCCUUGAAUGGCAUCUACUGCACAUAACUUUUUCAGCCCACAAAGCUGAAACGCUUUCUGUGACUCAAAUGGCUCCAGCACAGCUAUUCCCUAGAAGACAUCCUCCCUGAUUUCUUGUGGUGCCUGUUAGAUUGCUGAAGUUGCAGACAGGGCUAUAAGACAUACCAUACUACAGCAAAUAUGGCUACUCGCUCCAUGCAGGGCUAUCGGAGAAAGUUUUGCACAGCUCUAGUGAAACAGGUGAACAACUGCAAGUUUGGAAAGCCUCCUAGCGUUCCCUGGACCUCAGAAGGCUCAGUGUAGGAUCCCUCGCCCAUCCUGAUUACCUCAAAGACAUGGAAAAAACACUGAGGUCUUAUUGCUCCUGUUGGAAACUUCUGCCGACUACAGCAAGAGUUGGACUGUGCCCAGAGAAACCAAAUACACACAAGCUGCAAUGAGUUGGCCAUACAAGCAAGGAAAAUCACAGAUAACAGAUGCACACAAAUUAGUAAUGUACCUUUUAGGUCAUCCAGUACAGCUUGCUGACACAUUGAGAUUGUCUCCUAUGGCAUAUUUUUGGUUGCUUUGGAUGCCUGGAUCAAAUGUCCUAAGUAAUAUCAUGUACUUAGGGAGAGAUUGUGCUGCCUAGUAUAUCCUGUUAGAAGUUUUUUUUUCCUUUCUUAACAUUAUCAUAUUUCUCCCAGUUACAUUUCUUUGCAAACCUCCUUAUUUCCUUUCUACAAUGCUAUUUUUCUCCAGUGUCUUUAGACGAAUGUGAUGUUCCAUUUAGUUAACAUUAAGUCAGUUCAUACCUAUUUAGAUCAUUUAAUCUUUUCUGAUAAAUCAGUCUUUUCUGUCGCCUGGUUAUUUUCUCAUCUCCUCUUGUCCCACUCCUGUCUGUCAGUAUCUUUUUUAGCUAUAAGUUUUAAAGAUGUGGUGCAUUUAUCUGAACUAACAGCAGGUCUGGCACAAACUUGAGCACUCUCAGUAUCUUCUCACUGAAAACCAUUCCUGAUGUGCCCAAGGGAAAUUCACUGGCAUUCUGAGCAGACAAGCAAGCAGAGCAUCCUGUUCAAACCAUUUCCUUGAUACCUGCUUUACUGAUCAGCAACAACCAAAAAGCAUUAAAACAUUUAGCCUAGUGAUUCAAAAACCAAAUAUGGGUCACUAUAGAUUAAUUAUUUUUUUUUCAUAAUGCUAGGAAACAUAAUGGCAGAGAGGAAAAUACAUUUGUUCUUGAUAUUUUCGAACUCUUGGUCGUGGACAUCACAAUCUAAAAUUAUGGAAGACGUUGUCUUGUCUAGUAACUAUAUUUGGGUGCCACUGGAGUACACUGUAGAAAGUAAUUAUAUAUGUAGUCACACGCCUAGCUUUUCACUUCAGGCAAUAAAUUCUGAUCAACAAACAACACUCCUUUAGUGCUAAAUGAAAUCUUGGCUGUAAUUGAAUGUCUUUACCUCUGUGUUCUGUUGGAUUGGAGGAAUAUCAUUUUAAUCUGCUCUCUUUAAAUUUUCAUUAAGGAGCGUUUGAGCUACCUGCAGCCUCAUCUGAUGAUGUUUAAUGAUAUCAGCUAGCGCAUUCUUCCGUGCACCAGCAGGGGCUUCUUUAAAUUGGUCAACUGUACAUUGAACUGAACAUUGUUUUCGUGUUUAAUGUACUUGGAAUCAACCUUUUAAAAUAAUGAUGUCUCUACAGACAGUUUAUAUACGUAGCGCACACACAUAUGUGCAUGUGUAUGUAUGCAUAUAUAUGCGUAAGUGCACACAUACAUAGAGAAACACUGAUCCUAUUCACCUUCUUGAAAACAUUUCAGCUAGUAUUAGCAUAAAUGUGCUGUUAAGUUGGCAGUGUUAUACAUUUUUGUUGGAGUUUACUUCUGUAACCUAAAAUCAGGCAGAUAAGCUGUGAAACUCAUGCAGCUGAUGACAUAAUGCUGGGAUAUCAUGAUGCUGAAUCUCAUAUUUCUAGGCAUAAAGGAUGGAUGUUCCUUUCUGGAAUUAUUAUGCCUCUUGUUGCAAUAUAUAUUUCUUGUUUUCGUGUGGGCACUGAGAUGUUCAAACCAUUAAAUGUAUAUGGUAUAAUGAGUCCUGUGUUCCUUAUUUAUUCUAAAGAAGGCAUUAACUUUCUAUGGUUGUUUUAUUGUGUAAUAAAGCCUACUACUCUAAGAAUCUGUGAUGAACAUAGCAAUAAGCUGUGACAAUAUGCAUAGUUACAUUUAAUGCCGAUGUCCAAAUGUACAUAUGUGCAUAUAAAGAAGCAUGUAUGUAUAUUCAAGCACUCAAAGAUAGACACACAAAUUAAAUACAAUCAAGGAUGUGGCAUAAGUAGAUUCAAAGCUUACCUGUUACGGCUUUGUAAAGGGGGAAAUCCGAGCCACAAAGACACACGUGAAAGUAAGGCUCAAUAUAAUCCAUUGGCUCGUUACCAUUAUGCUCAACAGUGACAGGCUGUAUGCUAAGAUGGGGUACCAGCAGACAUUCGCCAUGACAGCUGGUUCAAAACAGAGCUUUCAAAAUAGUGCAACACCCCUCACUUCCUUCCAAAUCCUGGUGUUUGCCAGCAGCACUUAGCUGAGGCUGGCUCUUAAGGUCAGAUGUUCAGAUAAAAGUUGCUUGAAAUGAAUCUGCUUCUUUGUGUUUGGACUGUAUAUAUGUUCAGCAUAGCAUCUAGGCUCUUUGUGAAUUUGUGUUUGAGUUCACACGUGAGUAGUGCUUGCCUAUUACCUGAAAAAAUGAUGGAUGUUUCUUCCCGACACCAUGCUCUAUUUGCCUGAGAUUGUCCUCUAUCAAAUUCUCCUUUCUUUUGUGGGUUACAUAAAACGAGAGCCAUACACAGGCU